UACGUAGGGGGCAAGCGUUGUCCGGAAUUACUGGGCGUAAAGCGCACGUAGGCGGCUUUGUAAGUUAGAGGUGAAAGCCCAGGGCUUAACCCUGGAAUUGCCUUUAAGACUGCAUCGCUAGAAUCGUGGAGAGGUGAGUGGAAUUCCGAGUGUAGAGGUGAAAUUCGUAGAUAUUCGGAAGAACACCAGUGGCGAAGGCGACUCACUGGACACGUAUUGACGCUGAGGUGCGAAAGCGUGGGGAGCAAACAGG
This 253-nucleotide ribosomal RNA is filed under the name uncultured bacterium. RNAcentral describes it as "partial 16S ribosomal RNA". It matches the Rfam family "Bacterial small subunit ribosomal RNA", at positions 524 to 776 of the family's 1533-position model. The record is from RNAcentral.